This 440-nucleotide ribosomal RNA is filed under the name uncultured bacterium. RNAcentral describes it as "partial 16S ribosomal RNA". It matches the Rfam family "Bacterial small subunit ribosomal RNA", at positions 338 to 795 of the family's 1533-position model. The record is from RNAcentral.
CCUACGGGUGGCAGCAGUGGGGGAUAUUGCACAAUGGGGGCGACCCUGAUGCAGCGACGCCGCGUGUGGGAAGACGGUCCUCUGGAUUGUAAACCACUGUCCCCAGGGACGAAAGUGACGUUACCUGGGGCUGACGCUCCGGCAAACUACGUGCCAGCAGCCGCGGUCCUACGUAGGGAGCGGGCGUUGUCCGGAAUUACUGGGUGUAAAGGGAGCGUAGGCGGGGAUGCAAGUUGGGGGUCAAAACUACCGGCUCAACUGGUAGUCGCCCUCAAAACUGCAGCUCUUGAGUGAAGUAGAGGCAGGCGGAAUGCGUAGUGUAGCGGUGAAAUGCGUAGAUAUUAGGAGGAACACCAGUGGCGAAGGCGGCCUGCUGGGCUUUUACUGACGCUGAGGCUCGAAAGUGUGGGGAGCAAACAGGAUUAGAUACCCGAGUAGUC